UGUUAAUGAUGAUACCCAUUUACCAGUUCUGCUUAUGAAAAAUCGAUGAUUAUAAGCAUUUUACCCACAAUUCUUAUCUGAUGA
Molecule: non-coding RNA, 84 nt
Organism: Anopheles arabiensis
Lineage: Eukaryota; Metazoa; Arthropoda; Insecta; Diptera; Culicidae
Source: Rfam